Molecule: ribosomal RNA, 463 nt
Filed under: uncultured bacterium
Lineage: Bacteria
Description: bacterial SSU rRNA
Rfam family: Bacterial small subunit ribosomal RNA
Source: RNAcentral
GACGAACGCUGGCGGCGUGCCUAACACAUGCAAGUCGAACGGAGAUAUGAUUUCGGUUGUAUCUUAGUGGCGAACGGGUGAGUAACGCGUGAGCAACCUGACUCCUAGAGGGGGAUAACACUCGGAAACGGGUGCUAAUACCGCAUAAGACCACGACAUGGCAUCAUGACGAGGUCAAAGGAGCAAUCCGCUGAGAGAGGGGCUCGCGUCCCAUUAGAUAGAUGGCGGGGUAACGGCCCACCAUGUCAACGAUGGGUAGCCGAGCUGAGAGGCUGAUCGGCCACACUGGAACUGAGACACGGUCCAGACUCCUACGGGAGGCAGCAGUGGGGAAUAUUGGGCAAUGGGCGCAAGCCUGACCCAGCAACGCCGCGUGAGGGAAGAAGGCUUUCGGGUUGUAAACCUCUGUCCUUGGUGACGAAAAAAUGACGGUAGCCAAGGAGGAAGCCCGGCUAACUACGUG